Molecule: ribosomal RNA, 497 nt
Filed under: uncultured bacterium
Lineage: Bacteria
Description: partial 16S ribosomal RNA
Rfam family: Bacterial small subunit ribosomal RNA
Source: RNAcentral
GAUAAACGCUGGCGGCGUGCCUAAUACAUGCCAGUCGAGCGAACGGACGAGAAGCUUGCUUUUCUGAUGUUAGCGGCGGACGGGUGAGUAACACGUGGAUAACCUACCUAUAAGACUGGGAUAACUUCGGGAAACCGGAGCUAAUACCGGAUAAUAUUUUGAACCGCAUGGUUCAAAAGUGAAAGACGGUCUUGCUGUCACUUAUAGAUGGAUCCGCGCUGCAUUAGCUAGUUGGUAAGGUAACGGCUUACCAAGGCAACGAUGCAUAGCCGACCUGAGAGGGUGAUCGGCCACACUGGAACUGAGACACGGUCCAGACUCCUACGGGAGGCAGCAGUAGGGAAUCUUCCGCAAUGGGCGAAGGCCUGACGGAGCAACGCCGCGUGAGUGAUGAAGGUCUUCGGAUCGUAAAACUCUGUUAUUAGGGAAGAACAAAUGUGUAAGUAACUAUGCACGUCUUGACGGUACCUAAUCAGAAAGCCACGGCUAACUACGUG